GAUGAACGCUGGCGGCGUGCCUAAUACAUGCAAGUCGAGCGAACGGACGAGAAGCUUGCUUUUCUGAUGUUAGCGGCGGACGGGUGAGUAACACGUGGAUAACCUACCUAUAAGAUUGGGAUAACUUCGGGAAACCGGAGCUAAUACCGGAUAAUAUUUUGAACCGCAUGGUUCAAAAGUGAAAGACGGUCUUGCUGUCACUUAUAGAUGGAUCCGCGCUGCAUUAGCUAGUUGGUAAGGUAACGGCUUACCAAGGCAACGAUGCAUAGCCGACCUGAGAGGGUGAUCGGCCACACUGGAACUGAGACACGGUCCAGUCUCCUACGGGAGGCAGCAGUAGGGAAUCUUCCGCAAUGGGCGAAAGCCUGACGGAGCAACGCCGCGUGAGUGAUGAAGGUCUUCGGAUCGUAAAACUCUGUUAUUAGGGAAGAACAUAUGUGUAAGUAACUGUGCACAUCUUGACGGUACCUAAUCAGAAAGCCACGGCUAACUACGUG
This 497-nucleotide ribosomal RNA is filed under the name uncultured bacterium. Its description in RNAcentral is "partial 16S ribosomal RNA". It matches the Rfam family "Bacterial small subunit ribosomal RNA", at positions 28 to 507 of the family's 1533-position model. The record is from RNAcentral.